UACGGAGGGUGCAAGCAUUAAUCGGAUUUAUUGGGCGUAAAGGGGGCGUAGGCGGUUGUGUUAGCCAGACGUGAAAUCCCGGGGCUCAACCCCGGAACGGCGUUUGGAACUGCACGACUAGAGGAUAGGCGGAGAAAACGGAAUUCCACAUGUAGCGGUGAAAUGCGUAGAUAUGUGGAAGAACACCGGUGGCGAAGGCGGUUUUCUAGCUUAUUCCUGACGCUGAUGCCCGAAAGCUAGGGGAGCAAACAGG
RNAcentral lists this ribosomal RNA (253 nucleotides) under uncultured bacterium. RNAcentral describes it as "partial 16S ribosomal RNA". It matches the Rfam family "Bacterial small subunit ribosomal RNA", at positions 524 to 776 of the family's 1533-position model. The record is from RNAcentral.